CUUUUUUUUUUUUUUUUUUUUUUUUUUUUUAAACAUAGUAUAAAUCAAUUAUCUUUUUCCUUCAGUAUUUGGAAUAGCAAAAAUUAUUUCUGGUCCCUCCUUAGAUCAAUCAACACCACUUUUCAUAACAUAUAACACUGAAAUUUACAGACAUCCCUGAAAAGUUUUUAAGUAAACGAGUGAAUCACAGUGGAGUCUCAAUCAGUUAACAGUGUAGAUCCAUUUUUUUUUUUUAAAAACUGAAUAUUAAAAGAAAUCUUCAAGCUAAAAACAAAAACAAAACCCUCCUAAGAACUAAAGCCAAGUGUGUGUUGUCAAUGAUUCGAUACUUUUAUCCCCUGACUGAUUUAGACUCCUCCUCCUCAUGUUGUAAGACAUAUUUGCUGAAAUCUUCACGCCAAGCUUUUGGGACACCUGGGUGAAGAGGCUAUGCUACUGUUGCAUCUAAGGGAAUAGUGGCACCAUUUCUUCCCUAAUAGACUUCAUAUCCAAAGAUGAGCAAUAAAUCUCACUCCCCUGCAUUUACCAGCAUGUUAUCAGGAGAUAAUACUUGCUGUGCAAAUUGAUGACAGCUGAUCCUCCCACCCCACCCCAUCCCCUACUGCCAAUAUGAGGUUAUCAUCAGUUUGUCAUUAUGCACUGGCCUUUCACUCUUUCAAUCAGAAAAGCUGUGGCUUACUUUAAAAAGGUGGGGAAGGGACGGGGAGAAAUGAAAAACCAAGAGUCUAAAGGCACAAGGUCGCAUAGCUGCUCUAGUUGGAGUUUGUAAACAGAGAAUAGGUUGAAUUUAGGUAAUCCCAAUCUAUGAGAGUAAAAAGGCAUCCACAGCAGGCUUUUAUCCAGCCAGCUUCUUUGAGACCCUUCAUGGGUUUUGAGGUCUACAAAGUAUGCACUAAAAUACCCAUACUUCAAAAAGCAAUAAGGCAAAUAGUAUAAUCAUUAUUCCAAAAGUUACAAUGGUAGUGUAGGCAUACAUAGUAUAAUUUAGUUACAAUGUGUGGUACUGUUUCUAUUAUAUAACCAUAUUAACUGUUUAUUUCCUACAUAAUUAUAAAUUCAGCUGGGUUUCAGUUGAACACAAAACCGUCCUUGUACCACCACUGAUAGUUGGCAAUAGCUCUUUGACAGCAGUUUUUAUUCUGCUGUAGAAAUUAUCCUUGAACUGAAAAAGUCCACAAUCCAAUGUCCAGUCAUUAAACACUAUCAUAUUUGUGAAGAGCUUCUUCCAACUUCUGGGUAACUUUUUGGAAAAAUAUUAUUUGUUGUUGUAAGAAAUGCUGCAUCUGUGAUUUAAAGUCUCUUACUCGAAUCUGAUGGAAGUGGUGAAUUUCAGCCAAAGUGGCAAAAGAAAUAGUGUUACAGCGAUCCUGAAUGCCGUCAGCCUUCUGCACCUCCAUCUUCCCUUCCUCCACGUGUCGCCUACUCUCCUUGACUUUGGUAAGAGCUCCUGUAGUUAAAAAUAACAAUUAAUUAAAAUCCUAUAUAUCUACAAAUCCCAAUGACAUAACUACAUAUUAAACAGAAUCUUGGGCAUUGCAAAUAGUUGCCCAAACUACUUUCAAUACCUUUGAAAUUUAAAGUAAGGACCAUAAUUACUCAUUUUAAAAAAAGAAGGAAUCCAGUAAAGUUUCUGAAAACACUCCCUUUGUUAAAAUUUGUCUUCAAAAACUAGUGUUUGCCAUACUCACCAAGAAUCUGUAGUAUCUCAUCUCCUCCAGGUAGAGAUGCUAUACAUAAUUGAUAAUAAACUGAAAGGAAAUGUCCUUUAAAAGACGCAACAAGAAAAUGCAGUUUUCACACGCUUAAAAGGUGUGACAUCAUUAUUUCCACAUAUAUUAAGAGAAUUACACUGUUUAUAAAAACAUCCCAUAAAGGAUCCAAACCCACUUCCUCAGAAAGUCUCACUAAAUAAUUAAGACUCUAGAACCAGUCUCUGAAACAAGUUAGUACCAACACAGGUUGUGUUUUGGAAUCAUGUCACAGUCGUAGGUGGUGCUUGGCAAUGUUGCCAGUCUACAAUUGGAGGUCACCCUCAUCAGGGUUGGCCAAGCCCAUAUCUUGUCCAGAGUAAACACCUAGCUGAAGUGCUCAACAUACAGAAAGUGCCUGGUGAAGGGGUGAAUUGCGAACACAUGUCUGAUUUUGACUUCACGUUGCAUCGGGAGACCCACACCUGGAGUACAAGGGCUUUAAUAAGAAUUUGCCCCUUUUUUGGGACUAUCAGGAUUGUUGAGUGUUAACUCUGCCCCGAUGAUGACCUAGGAAUGAUGCCAGCGGUUCCAUAAUCUCAUGCCUAGAAGUAUCAACAGAGGGUGUUGCAGGGGUGGGGGUGAAAGAUUGGCCACUCCGGCAGGUGCCAUAUGAAGGCAGGCCUUCCCCUGGAAGCACAGUCAUACAAAGACACAAAAGAUUGAGGAUGUUUAGGGGUAGGAAAUAGGCUAUUCCUAAGUUCUUGGGAAUGAGUAAUGAUAAAGCUGAAAUCACUUGAACAAAGCCAGCUUAAGAAUUCAGAUUUCCCUACUGUGCCUAGCACUCAUUCCACCAAACCAUACUGAAAGACAAGACAGAACACAGAGAGAAGCAGCUAGAGUGCCUGGCUUGGCAGUCUGAGAACACAGUACUACUGAGGAGGGAACCAGGAACCUUGAGUAGAAGGAGGUACAGAAACUGAGAGACUUUGUUUCGGAAAUGUUGUUUUACCCAAUGGUGAAAUAUACGAGGGAAGAUGCCCUAUUUCUAAAUUUCUUCAAAUCUCCUACAGAAUAAUAUAAAAUACAAUAUUAAACAAAACCCUUAAGGUAAAGCAGUAUGCUUUUUUGGCAUAGUUCAAAGACCUGAGAAAUGAAAAAGCACCAACAGCAAAUUUCAUCCAUAUAAAUGUAUGUGCAGGUGUGCACAUAUGUACACAUUUAUUUUCAUUGAUUUAUUCUAAAUGAGCCCUUUAAGUGAAAAGCAGCAAAGCCCUGAAACAAGAACACAUGGGUACUGCAGCUGCAAGGAGCACACAUGCCCACACCACUUCCACCUAAGCCAUGGCAGAGAAGUGCGCUCUGCUAGACAGAGGAAGACCCCACCCCAGUUCUACUAAGAAGCCAUCACUCUGAAAGUAAGGCCUUUUAAACAUUUCUAUAUGGCUGACAGUAUCAGCAAAGCACUAAAAUUUGCCUGCUUGAAGAGAAAGACAUUUCCCCAACAUAAAAAAUUAGUAAUAAUUUAUUGUAAAACAUUUAUCUUUGUUAUAUUUGUACAGGUUUCACAUUUCAUAUACAGAAAUUGAAGUUGAAAAGACAGGAGGGCUGGGAGCAGUGGCUCAUGUCUGCAAUCCUAACACUUUGGGAGGCUGAGCUGGGUGGAUCACCUGAGGUCAGGAAAUCGAGAUCAGCCUGGCCAACAUGGUAAAACUCCAUCUCUACUGAAAAUACAAAAAUUAGCUGGGCGUGGUGGCAGGCACCUGUAAUCCCAGCUACUCGGGAGGCUGAGGCAGGAGGAUCACUUGAAGCAGGAAGGCAGAGGGUGCAGUGAGCUGAGAUCACAACGCUGCACUCCACCCUGGGAAACAAGAGCAAAACUGUCUCAAAAAAAGAGAAAGAAGAAAAGACAAGACAAGACGAGGAAAGUAUAACAGGUAAAACUACAGGAAAAAAAAUUCAAAAAGACUGAGAAUGUGUAGUGAAAAAAUACAUGUUUUAUAAUGAUAAAGGGAAUAGGAAAUUAAAAGAGAAAAAUCUCAAAUGAUUUGACUAUAUUUUCCAUCUGAUUUCAAUCCAAGGUACCCGAGGAAGCCACAGUCCUAUGUUCAAAUGCUAAGGACCAGAAUGCAGGAUCCUGCCCUGCUCAGAGCCUGACCUACGUAACAGCUAUUGCCUGUAUUGGUAAUAUUCUGCAAGUAUUACUUGCUCUAACUACUCUAUGGCUUUUCACCAUAGAGAAUAGAGUCCAGUAUAGAGAAGCUCUGAAACCUGGCCUUGAAUUGGGUGAAUGUCAACUAAGUUGCAGCUUGUCAAACUCCAAAUUAGUUCACCAUAUUUUGAGAAACUGCAUUGCGUUAUAUAGAAUUACAGAUGUGCACCCGUAACAACCAAUUUAAAAAUCAACAAGUCUAAGGCUUGCCACGGUGGCUUGUGCCUAAAAUCCCGGCAAUUUGGGAGGCUGAGGCAGGGGGAUGGGCAAAGCCAGGAGUUUGAGACCAGCCUGGGCAACAUGGUGAAACCCCAUUCCUAUGAAAAAUACAAAAAUUUAGCCAGUCCUGGCAGUGCACAUCUAUAGUCUCAGCUACUCCAGAGGCUGAGGUGGGAGGAUCAUCUGAUUCCGGGAGGUUGAGGCUGCAAUGAGCUGUGAUCACAGUACUGCAUCUCCAGCCUGCUGGGUGACAGAGUAAAACCCAAUCUCAAAAAAAAAAAAAAAAAAAAAAAGAACAAGUCUAAAGUUUUUACAACUUAUAUCAGCAUACAUUUUCCAAAGUCUCAGAUACAACAAUGAGUAUUAAUAUCUCUUUGAGGCCCCAGGAUCUUGCCAGCAUGUAAUAACUUCAAGCUUCCUAAGCAUACAUACUAGAGAAGCCAAGAAGAAUUUGGGACUCAUUUUUAGUCAGGCAUGGUGGCAGGCGCCUGUAAUCCCAGGUACCCGGGAGGCUGAGGCAGGAGAAUUGCUUGAACCCAGGAGGCAGAGGUUGCAAUGAGCCAAGAUGGCACCAUUGCACUCCAGCUUGGGCAACAAGUGUGAAACUCCAUCUUAAAAAAACCAAGAAAACAACAAAACGAAACAAAAAAAAACCAAAGACUCAUUUUUUCUCCAAGUAUGAAUUUAUUAAGUGAAUAACACAAAAUGUUGCUGUUUUUAAAAGUCCCCAAAAGGUUGGGCUCCCGGGUGAUAAUUUUAAUGUGAACAUUUAUGGAAAGCCUGUCAUGUAUAGAGCACACUGAUAGAACAGGGAGAUUCAAACAGGAGCCACACCGCAAAGCACCGUCAGGGCAGGCAAACUACCCUGACACAAAGUGAGAUAGGUCCACGAAGCACACAAUUCUGCAUGGGAGUUGAAUACGGCUUUCUCCAAGAUAACAUGUGACCAAUGUGACAACAGAAAAUACUCAGAGGGCCUGCUACAUGCGCACUGCGCUAUGGAUGGUGGCAGGGUGGAGGGUAGAGAAUAGAAUAUCUGAACAGUAAAUGGUAGCUGCUAUAAAUAGCAAUAACAUAUGCUAGACAUUUUCCAUCUAACUUUCACUACAACUUUACAACAGACAUUACUCCUAGUUUUACUACAAGGAAAUUGAGGAAGUUAUGCAACGUCUUUGAGCCUGACCAUCAUCCACAUAACCCAGCAGGAGGCUGAGAUGGGAUCUGACUGCAUAACUGACUUCAAAGCAAGCACUACAACUAUUUAGAAGAGAACGUGCUAGACAGGUGUGGUGACGCACACCUGUACUCCCAGCUACUCAGGAGGCUGAGGCAGGAGAGUCCAGGAAUUCCAGGCUGCAGUGACCUGUGAUCAUGCCACUGCACUUCAGCCUGAGUAAUAAAGCAAGACCCUGUCUAAAAAAUUAAAAAAUAAAAACUAUAUAAAAUGGUAAACUAAGGUAUUAAAUAGCAUACUUUAAAUGUACAAAUUUGUAGAAUAAGGAGAGCUACGUGUAAUCAAGGAAGAUUAUGUCUCCAUAAAAUUGUAGCCACAGAUGUAGAACAAGUUUUUAAAAACAAAAAUAACUUCCUUUAACUGAGAUGUAACUAAAUUGAUUUUCUCCCAGAUACACCUUCAAAAGAAAGUUAAAAGAAGAUUAGCAAUAAAACAAGUUGACGGUAAUAUACUUAGAACAAAUUAAAAAUCGAGAGUUCCUGAAUAUAUCCUGAAUUGAAGAUAAGAGCUGUUAAUGUUCAGAAUGACAACGCCAAGGACCUUCCAACAUCUGAAGCCAAAUAAAAAAAGUUAACUCUUAUAAAAUACUUUGCAAAGGUUUACAAUAUAUACAUCUUUUCCCAAGAAAAUAAUUUCUUUUUUUAAAAACUAAUCUCACAACUUUCCAACUUCCAAUUAGUUUUUUUCUGUACACCUUUUAACAAACAGUAAAGGUAUCAGUGCUCUCCUCCCUAUGAAAACGGUAAGCUAAUUAUGGAAGUCAAUUGACUAGUUCUGACCAGAAGUAAACAGGAAAAAAAAAAUGACAUCUUUUAAACAGCUCAAGUGAUCCACAGACAGACAGCAUGAGUGUUUAACACUUGGGGACUAACACACAGAACCACUUUCUGGGGUUCCCAGGAAGCUUCCCUCUACCCACCUCUGCCUAACUCUGCCUAGCUCCUAACUCUGAGUUCAAUCAAAAAGAAAGUGGAAACAUAUUUUUCCAAUAGAAACAGUAUUACAAGCGUUGGCUAGAUGUGAGUGAAAUAGUAUUAUUAUUAGAAGUAGAAUUUGGUUUUGUUACAAAUGGUUGGGUUCUUACAGUUGAUCUAACUGCUCAAACUGGGAAUUAUGUGUACAUAUUUUUAAGUUUCACAAUUAUCUUCAUAUUCAAAAUUUUAAAUAUCACAAGAAAGGCAGAGAGCAAAAUUUUCAGUUCUAGCACGUUGGAGGCAGAAACUAUUGGAGCAGAGUUAGAUGAUCAUAGACUUGCUACUUCUAGGAUAACUUUAGAAAUUAAGUAAUUUGUAGCUGCCUAAGAAACAACUGCAGAGGUACAAUACAACCAGCUGCAGAGCUGUAACAAAGUAUGACAGCGUUUUUUCAGCAUUCUCUGCAGAGCUGUAACAAAGUAGGAGAGCAUUUUUAAAGCAUUCUCAGGGCUAUACUGCAUUGUUUUUUAACCAAACCAGAGGAGUGUAAAUGAAAACUAAAAAUGUUGCCCAGAAUCUAAAUAACACAAGGGCUACACAUUUUUAUCACGGAACCAACAUGAAAAUAGGCAAUAGCAUCAAAAGCUCUGCUUUUUAAGAGGCUAAUUUAGGAGGAACAUGCCCCCGUGCCAGCCCCCUCCCCUCAUAAACAUCAUAUUGCCACCACGCUGCUUUCAAAACAGAAGAGGGAAAUGAAAGAAUGGGGGAGCAAUUAUACAAUGAAGUCUAAGGUCAAAAGCAUCACUGUUAGAACAAACAAAAGAUCCCACAGUACUCAUAGUUAGAACAGCUUUAAGAUGAAAGAAAAUAAUAAACAGGUGUAAUCAGAGGGAAAAACAUUUUCCAACGACAAUGUCACUGUAAACUGAAACUGCUUCUUGGGCUAAAGUAACAGACAUUAGUUAGCUGCAUCUGGAAUAGCAUGAACAUAUUACGAUUUUAUUAUGAAAAGAAAGUUCAGGUGCACGUUAAAUAGAGAUUAAAUAAGAGGCUGACAAUACAGACCAGUGUGAAUAUACUCUUUAAAAAACCUACCAAUGAAGUAAUAACUUUUCCAAUUCAGAAGAAAACACUAUUUACACGUGAAGUAGUGCAGCCUUCCCAAGUUACAAAACUGAAAAGAAAUUUUCUUCUCUCUGUCUCUCUAUUUAAUUUAAAUUGUAGAGACAAGGUUUCACCAUGUUGCCCAGGCCGGUCUUCAACACCUGAGCUCAAGCGAUCCACCCGCCUCAGCCUCCCAAACUGCUGGGAUUAAAAGCAUAAGCCGCCGCCCCCAGCCUGAAAAAUACAUUCUUAAAAUGAAUCUGAAGUACAGGAAAAAUAAUUAUUUAAAGUGAGGCAAUAGAUUUCAACGACAUCCCAAGAUAGUGAUCCUGAAUAGGCAAUAGGAGCCCAGAGUGCCUCCCCCAGGCUGAGCCUCCAACACACUGCAGCUGUUUCUUCCUCAGGGGAUCUCUGUGAAAGAGGCAGGAAGGAUCCUAGAGUAAGCCCCUCCUAAAAAGGUUUACCUGUUGAAAGUGAAGUUUUGGUAGAGAGUUCAACUUAAUUAUUGCAUUAGUUUGGUGGAUUGCUCGAAUUCUUCCACAGGAUAGAAAGUGAACUCAGGAACUAAAAACCCUCAGUUCUAAUUCCUAAAGGAGAGGAAGGAGCCGGAAGGCACCUUCUCACAUUCCAGUCCUAGAGACGCCCUCUGGGGAAGGCUAGGCAGAGCUGCUUCCCAGGUGAGAACGGCAGAGCUGGCUCUCAGAUUUUUUUUUUUUUUUUUAAUGCUAAAAAGGUCUUAGAAGAGUUUCUAUACAAUUCUCUCCAUUCUACAAAGAAGAGGGUGAGCCACUUGUUCAAAGUCCCACAGCUAAUUCAUGGCAAAGACCCCACCUCCACCUGCCUGCCAGCCCUGGCAUGUCCCAUUCUCCCUUCCAAGCAGGGCAUCCUCAUUCAGGAGACCUACUACCUUUUUUGUGGGCAUAGAUUGAGUGGAUUAAGGCCUGAGAUGGAGACUUGAACCUGCUACAUUGUUGAAAAGGAUCCUUUCCUUUCUACAUUUUGAGAAUUAAAAGGAAAAUUAAACCAAUAUUUUUACUUUGGUUUAGGAUUUGUUAUUAACAAAAUCUCCUAGAUUCCCAAGCUGAUUCUGUACCUGUAAAAUUCCCAACAGGGCUCAUUUUCAUAUCAGUGCAAUUGCCAAAGCUCAGAGAAAGGUACGUUGCCCCACUUCUCCAUCACCAGUCCUAGCUCCAGAGAAAGCAAAUGUCCUAAAUUCACUUCCAUCCCCCCUCCUACCAUUUUUCUUUGUAUCUAACCACUGUAAGCCAUCUCGCAGCUCUAAAGGAUGCUCAGGCUGAAAUGAGGAAAGCAAGAAAUAACUAUGUUUUUGUUUAUAAUACAUAUGUUCUCCAUUUCAGAGGAAUUAUAUUACUCAUGUUUGCAAUGAAUAUAAAACAAUGAAAACAAAAGAAUUUUUAAUCAUGUGACAAGGUUCAUUAAUAUUACCUUAAAAGGCUCAAAUUUUUAAAAAUCAUUUAUAAAUUAUGAAUUAGAAAUCAGCACCAUUUUCAAAAGCAUCACACUAUUUACAUAGCAUAUCAUUAAACUGUUUCCAUCAGUAAAAACACUUAAGAUUUCAAUGCCAAUUUUUUUCUAGAAUGACAGUAUGAGAGUAGUGAAUCUCUUGAGUCAUGUAGCCCAUGUG
Molecule: long non-coding RNA, 9016 nt
Organism: Macaca fascicularis (crab-eating macaque)
Lineage: Eukaryota; Metazoa; Chordata; Mammalia; Primates; Cercopithecidae
Source: Ensembl